UCAGCAGCGCGCCUUGGCGCGAGCAGCGCGCCUUGGCGCGAGCAGCGCGCCUUGGCGCAAGGGUGCCGGUUUCAACAAUAUGCCCAUGCAUGUAAUGGUGAAGUUAGUAGAAAGUCAGGCUUAUCAUAUGUAUUCAAUCAGGAUAAAAAAAUAAAAAAGAAAUAUUCAAGUGUAAUCGGAGCAAGACAUCAUCAAUAGAUACCAAAACUACAGAUUCAAGUGUAAUCGGAGCAAGACAUCAUCAAUGGAUACCAAAACUACAGUACAACACAUCUCCAUAGCCACCAGAAUGAUAGUACAACACAUUUGAAGAAUGGAAUGUUCAUAUACAGGGUAAAUUAAAGGAUGCAAUGUUCAUACACCGGUAAUGGGCAUGCGCGGUGGACAGGUCCGGUCGUCUUGAACAGCAGUGUCAGAGAGAAUGAUGACUCUCAUUGUGUUCUCAUUGAGCCCGAGUCUCAGAUGGCCUUGUGAAGCCCAAGAUGCUCUACCAGGAGAUCAAGCAUCAUUCUAACUGGGAUCCUUACAAUGCUUGUCUCGGCCUGUGUCAUAGGAAAUUUCAGAAUGGUUAUAUAAUUUUUCAGAGUACUAAAGUUGACAGCAGUUGGUUUUAUACCAUGAAAACAAAGGUCUGGGUAACUAAAGGACAACAAUCUUUGUUGUGCAAGAGUUUUAUUAGAUUCUUACUGUCCUGUUCGACAAUUGAGACAUAGUAAUUGAAAAAAAAUCAAAAUGGUACCAUGAAUCAUAAGAUAAACCAGCAGAAAAUCUAAAGCCUAAUCAUCGGACAAAGUCACACACACGAGCAGAUCGCUUC
RNAcentral lists this long non-coding RNA (817 nucleotides) under Triticum aestivum (bread wheat). RNAcentral's name for it is "long non-coding RNA (TAES_LNC027995)". The record is from RNAcentral. Lineage: Eukaryota; Viridiplantae; Streptophyta; Magnoliopsida; Poales; Poaceae.